GUGCGCAUGCUCCGGUAUCACUACAAAGGCGAUCGACAGAAAGAACGCGAUCUUUUGCGCUUACUUCAGCCUCGUGGGUGUGAUGGCAGCUGCGAGACGUAGGGUGUUGAAAGGACUUUUUCUUUCGAUUUGCGCUGGAAAUGCUUGCAUCGAACUAGUCUGGGUGUCUCUGCCAUUUUUAUUGAACUGUGCGGAAACCUGAAUGCCAGAUGCUGCAGUACACGGGCAUGAAAAUGACCUGAGAUUAAGAGCCAGGUGUUGAAAAUGGCCACUGAGUUGAGGGAUGUACAGAUUAAGGUUCCAGACCCGAAAAGAGUGUGGGGAGCCUGAAAAAUGUCCACGUAGACUAUGAUGUGGAAGCUAUCCAGAGGAUGGGCUUCUGCCAGCAGAGAUGGCUGUCUUAUUUAGGAUUUAAUGGAAACAAGGUUGUAUGAAGACUCCUGGCUCGCCUACUAAGAGCUCCACAGUGCUUGUUCUGUAUUCUAGCUGGCCCUUUGUCUUAAUAAACCACUUUAAACCUUA
This is a long non-coding RNA of Brienomyrus brachyistius, 522 nucleotides long. RefSeq lists it as uncharacterized. The record is from RefSeq and is a predicted model, not a curated record. NCBI's taxonomy places the organism in Eukaryota, Metazoa, Chordata, Actinopteri, Osteoglossiformes, Mormyridae. The transcript has 6 exons.